GAUGAACGCUAGCGACAGGCUUAACACAUGCAAGUCGAGGGGCAGCGGGGAGUAGCAAUACUUCGCCGGCGACCGGCGCACGGGUGAGUAACACGUGUGCAACCAACCCCGUACCGGGAGAUAACCCGCGGAAACGUGGACUAACAUCCCAUGACACCUUUUCCCCGCAUGGGGGAGAGUUUAAAACCCCGGUGGUACGGGACGGGCACGCGCGACAUUAGGUAGUUGGCGGGGUAAUGGCCCACCAAGCCGACGAUGUCUAGGGGUUCUGAGAGGAAGGUCCCCCCACAUUGGAACUGAGACACGGUCCAAACUCCUACGGGAGGCAGCAGUGGGGAAUAUUGGUCAAUGGACGCGAGUCUGAACCAGCCAAGUAGCGUGAAGGAUGACUGCCCUAUGGGUUGUAAACUUCUUUAUAUGGGAAUAAAGUUGUCCACGUGUGGAUUUUUGUAUGUACCAUAUGAAUAAGGAUCGGCUAACUCCGUG
This 486-nucleotide ribosomal RNA is filed under the name uncultured bacterium. Its description in RNAcentral is "bacterial SSU rRNA". It matches the Rfam family "Bacterial small subunit ribosomal RNA", at positions 28 to 507 of the family's 1533-position model. The record is from RNAcentral.